Molecule: ribosomal RNA, 407 nt
Filed under: uncultured bacterium
Lineage: Bacteria
Description: partial 16S ribosomal RNA
Rfam family: Bacterial small subunit ribosomal RNA
Source: RNAcentral
CUUGAACGCUGGCGGCAGGCCUCACCCAUGCCAGUCGAGCGGAGCGGCGGACGGGUGCGUAAUGCCUAGGAAUCUGCAUGGUAGUGGGGGAUAACGUCCGGAAACGGGCGCUAAUACCGCAUACUAUCAGAUGAGCCUAGGUCGGAUUAGCUAGUUGGUGGGGUAAAGGCCUACCACGGCGACGAUCCGUAACUGGUCUGAGCGGCUGAUCAGUCACACUGGAACUGAGACACGGUCCAGACUCCUACGGGAUGCAGCAGUGGGGAAUAUUGGACAAUGGGAGAAAGCCGGAUCCAGCCAUGCCGCGUGUGUGAAGAAGUUCUGCGGAUUGUAAAGCACUUUAAGUUGGGAGGCGUUACCAACAGAAUAAGCACCGGCUAACUUCGUGCCAGCAGCCGCGGUAAUAC